UCGAGAAUAGUCUACAAUGGACGAAAGUCUGAUAGUGCAAUUCCGCGUGGAUGAAGAAGCAUUUCGGUGUGUAAAAUCCUUUUCUCUAUGAGCAAAGCUUAGAAGGUUAAUAGCUUUUUGAGUAAGAUAUUGGUAGAGGAAGCACCGGCUAACUCCGUGCCAGCAGCCGCGGUAAUACGGGGGGUGCAAGCGUUGUUCGGAAUCAUUGGGCGUAAAGCGCGCGCAGGCGGCUUGGUAAGUCAGAUGUGAAAUCCCUGGGCUUAACCCAGGAAGUGCAUUUGAAACUAUUCAGCUUGAGUAGGGGAGAGGAAAGUGGAAUUCCUGGUGUAGAGGUGAAAUUCGUAGAUAUCAGGAGGAACACCGGUGGCGAAGGCGACUUUCUGGCCCUAUACUGACGCUGAGACGCGAGAGCGUGGGUAGCAAACA
Molecule: ribosomal RNA, 426 nt
Filed under: uncultured prokaryote
Description: bacterial SSU rRNA
Rfam family: Bacterial small subunit ribosomal RNA
Source: RNAcentral